ACUGAAGCUCGCGAGAGGAUCCUGGGGGCAGGCGCGUCGCGGUGGCAGUGUUUCUUGGGUGUGCGGGGCCGGGCGCCCCGUAGCCUCUGGUGAGCGAAAGAGACCGGGGCCGAGCGGGCGCAGGCUUGCCGGGGCUGCGGGCUGCGCUGGCGGCGGGGCCGGGUGGCGGUAGUGGCGGGAGUGACUGGCGGGAAUCCCCGCGGCCCCGGCGCUUGGGCUUACUGUGCACUUGAUGUAAGGGGAAAGUCGCUCGUCAACUGCUUGAAGGGCAGUUUUGCGGUCAUAUUUAUACCCAUUUUUAAUCGCAUGCAGAUUAAGGGGCGGCUUAUGCAGAACUUUCUAGGGAAGGAGUAGUACUUUUGGGUCAUUGGGUCACUGCCAUGGAAAGGUGCAGUAACUCCGGGGUGUUGCCAUGGCAAUGGUAAAUUGACGUGGGCACACUGGUGGGUGUGUCUGAAGGGCUUGUUGUUAGGGUGAACUGGGGACUAGAAAUGGGAUGCGGGCGGGAGGAAAGUAGUGUAGGUGCAGGUGGCAGUCAUAAGUGUCCCAUAAGUCUGAAUGUCUGAAUGUCUGAACUGUGUAGAUUUAAGGAGCAUUAAAGAGGCAAAAUAAUAGCAAGUGCUUGUGUAAUGCUUAGCGUGGGCCAGGCACUGUUCUAAAUGCUUGUUUCAUUUAAUCCUGACAGCAACCUUAUGAGGUAGGUACUAUUAUUCCUAUUAAGAAAAAAUGAGAGGGGUUAAUCUGCCUAAGCGCAAACAGCCCCUAAGUGGCAGAGCCAGCAUGGAAAUUCAGGCCCUGAGGCUUUUUUCAGGCUGUGUUACCAGCUCUUCCUCUCAAAGACGACUUUGAAGAGUAAGGGAGAGAGAGAAGGCAAGGAGCAUUCAAAAAUUGGGAAGACAGUUUGAAUAUUCAUCAGAGAGAUCCUUCCAGGGAGAUACUGAGGACGAGGACUAGAAAUAUAAGGCCAGCAGAAAUCAAGGAUGUAAAAAUCUCCCUAGAGAAGAAAAGCCAGAAAGGUAAAGAAUUUGAUAACUUCUUUAAUCUAAGCUCAAAAAGUAUUUCACAUUCGAGAAUUCACAGGGAGAAGAACAAGGGGCCAGUUUCAGAAGUCAAAAUACAAGUCACAACUUACGAAAGGCUUCAGAGUGUAGCCCCUCUGGCAGCCAGGUUUAGAGAAGCCCUAGCGGGGAAGGGAAGUGCAAAGAGGCAUCAGGGAAGCCAGGCAGGACCCAGAGCAAGGAGAAGGAAGAGAGUUUCCACAGGUGUUGCCUUCAGAGACAGGAGUGCCCUUGACAAGGAAAGAGGGCAACAAAACUACCCAGGAGAGAAACCCUUUAUCUGUAAGGAGUGUGGAAAAGCCUUUGGUCAGAGUGCAAGCCUUAUCGUGCACCAAAGAAUUCACACAGGGGAGAAACCUUUCCUAUGUAAUGAAUGCGGAAAAGGUUUCAGACAGAGAUCACACCUCAUACGACAUCAGAGGAUCCAUACUGGUGAGAAACCCUAUGAAUGCCAGGAAUGUGGGAAUACCUUCAGCCAGAGCUCAAAUCUCAUAGUUCAUCAGGGCAUCCACACUGGAGAGAAAUCUUUUGAAUGUGGUAAGUGUGGGAAAGCCUUCAGCCGGAGUUCAGGCCUCACUGUCCCUCAGAGGAUCCACACGGGGGAGAAGCCAUUUGAGUGUAAUGAAUGCGGCAAAGCUUUCAGUUGUAGUUCAUACCUUAUUGUGCAUCAGAGAAUUCACACAGGGGAGAAACCCUAUCAGUGUAAUGAGUGUGAAAGAGCCUUUGGCCAGAGCUCCCAUCUUAUUCUCCAUCAGACAACUCAUGCCCAGAAGAAACCUCAGCUGGCUACUUGGGUUAGGGCCCACUGUUAAUGGGGCAGAGUUGAAUGGUCAUGUUAUAUGCUUGCCUUCAGCCAGGCCAGCAUCUCAUAAAUACUAGGAAGUAUGUGAGAGGUCAUGGACUGUUCAUUGCUGGAAAUCUGGGUCCACAAACUCACUCUGCUUGUAUGGUGUUUUAUUCACUUGCCUUGUUUUUGUACAUGUGCCUCCAGUCAGAUUUGGAGUUCCAAGAGGUAGAUGCCAGGUCCUGUCUUCCACUUUGAUUGACAGGAAACUGAGGAGCUCUUCAUUUCUACAAAGUUGAUUAAAUUUUAAUUCAUUGAGAACUUCCUCUUAUCAAGAAACUCUUAAUCUGAUAAUCUUGCAAGAUCUCACCUGCUUUGAAGAUUUGUAAUUUUUCCAAUGUAACUCCAGCACAUUAAAGCUUACUUACUUUUCAUUGUUAUUUCAAAGCUUUAAUGUGCUAGAGUUGGGAAGCUUAGAAGGCCCACUGUGAGCAGUACUAAAAUUUAGAAUGUCACAUCCUCAUUCAAAUGUAGGCUGCCUUUAGGAGUGACCAAAACAGCGAAGGAUACAUAGGAUGAUAGAAUCAUGAAUCAAAGGAACCCUACCAGACCAGAACUGCAGACCAAAGUUAACAAGAUGAAGUAUUAAACCCUGUCCAUAGGGCUAAGGAGUCUGAGCCUCUCAGAACAGAAGUGUUCUGUCAGAAACACUGCAAUCCUUGACCAUUAGACAUGCUAGAGGGGUGUCUUUAAAAAUAUCCUUCUCUCUCAUCUUCAGUUGCUAGCUGCUCAGGGAUGAGAUCCUAGUCUUAAGGCCUGUUCUCUUCUCUCUAGACCAUAGAGCUUGACUUUUCCUUACAAGGAAAUAAAACAGAUCAUGUGUGUGUAUAAAAUUAAAAAGUAAUAUCCUAAUCAUCUGCCACUUACACAAAAAGAAAUUUAUUACCUUUAGACUAAAGGAAAAAUAUAAUAGGAAUGCAAUAUGUCUCGGUAUGUGCAGUCAUGUGCCACAUAAUUAUGUUUUGGUCAACAACAGACCACAUAUUUGAUGGUAGUCUCAUAAGGUAAUGGAGCUGAGAAAUUCCUAUGGCCUAGUGACUCUGCAGCUGUCAUAAUGUGGUAGCACAAUGCAUUACUCACAUGUUUGUGGUGAUGCUGGUGUAAAGCUGACCAUGUUGCCAGUUAUAUAAAAGGAUAGCACAUGCAGUUAUGUACAGUGCAUAAUACUUGAUAAAUAAAUGACUGUGUUACUGGUUUAUGUAUUUUACUGUGCUUUUCAUUGUUAUUUCAAAGUGUGCUCCUUCCACUUAUUUUUUCAAAGUUUACUGUAAAACAGUAUGCUGUGUUUGACCAGCAGCAGCCUCAUCUAUCUCAUGUUUACCACAUCUCUUGACUGCAUCAUUUCCUCUUGUGCUUGAUUUAAUCUCAUGUUUUGUUCAUCAUGUCUCCUAAGCAUUCAAAAUCCAUGGCUAAUUUUGCCAGUAAGAGGCCAUGCUGAGUAAUUGACCUGGAAACAAAAUUAAAAGUGAUUAAGGACUGUGAAGGUGGAAAAUCAGGGAUGGUUAUUGCUCACCAGUCAGGCAUGUCCCGUUUUACCAUAGCUGCCAUCCUAAAGAACAAGAGCAAAGUGAUAGAAGCUGUUAAAGGAUCUGCUUCAUUGAAGGCAAUGAGACUAACAAAAAUUUGAGAAGGGCCAAUAUCAGAUAUGGAUAAUAUCUGAUAUUGACCUAGAUUGAAGACCAGACACACAAGCAUGUCCCUCAGCACCAUGACAAUCACAGCUAAAGCAAAAAGCUUGUUUGUUACGUAGAUAGAAAAGGCUGGACCUGACUAUAUUGUUGAAUUUAUUGCUAGCUCUGGGUGGUUUAAAUGAUUCGAGAAUUGUUACUCAUUACACAAUUGUGAAAGUGAGUGCUAAGUCUACAAGUGCUGAUGUGAAGGCAGCUGAAUAAUUUUUGGAAACUCUAGAUAAGCUGAUUGUGGGGGAAAAUUACUUGCCAGAGCAAAUCUUUAAUAUGGAUCAAGGCUCCCUAUUCUGGAAAAAGAUGCCGGAAGGGACUGUCAUCCAUAAAGAGGCCAAGUCAGUGGCAGGUUUCACGGCUUUGAAGGACUGGCUAACAAUGUUUGGGGGCGAUGUUGCUGGCCACAAAUUAAAACCCUUUGUGAUUUGACACAGUGAGAACCCCAGGGCCUUCAAGCAUAUCAGUAAGCACACACUGCCGGUGUACUACAUGAGCAAUAACAAGUCAUGGAUGACCCAGCUUCUCUUCCAAUAUGCCCUCCUGAAUUGCUAUGCCAGUGAAAUGGAGAAGUACUGUUUGGAGAAUAACAUACCUUUCAAGAUUUUGCUUGUUGUUGAUAAUGCUCCUGUACAUCCUUUUAUUGGUGAUCUUUGUUUUAAUAUCAAACUGGUGUUUCUCCCUCUAAACAUCAACUCUUUGAUCCAACCAGUGGAUCAAGGAGUUAGAGCAGUUUUUAAGGCUCACUACCUAAAGCGGACGUUGCCCCAGGCUAUUGCUGCUAUUAUCUGAGGGAGACACUGAGAAGACACUAAUGCAAUUCUGGGAGGAUUACAGCAUCUAAGACUGCAUCAAGAACCUUGCUUAGGCUUAGGGUGAUGUCACCAAUGAGUGUAUGAAUGGCAUCUGGAAGGAGACACUCGAGGUUUGUUCAUGACUUCAGAGGAUUUGCCAUGGAUGACCAGGUUGCAAAAAUCCACAAGGCUGUGGUUGAGAUGGCAAACAGCUUUAACCUGGGUGUGAAUGAGGAUGACAUUGAGGAGCUCCUAGCGGUGGUUCCUGAGGAAUUGACUAAUGAGUUGUUGGAAAUAGAACAGGGACACAGCUGAAGAAGAGGCAAGAGAAAACAAAACUGCAGAAAACCACCAUCAAGAAAAUUUGCAGUAGGGAGUUUAGCAGAAGCUUUUGCAGACCUCAAGAAACUCCUUAAAAAGUUUGGGCCGGGCGCGGUGGCUCACUCCUGUAAUCCCAGCACUUUGGGAGGCCAUGGUGGGAAGAUCACGAGAUCAGGAGUUCAAGACCAGCCAGACCGACAUGGUGAAACUCCAUCUCUACUAAAAAUACAAAAAAAAAAAAAAAAAAGCCUGGGUGUGGUGGCACGCACCUGUAAUCCCAGCUACUAGGGAGGCUGAGGCAGGAGAAUCACUUGAACCUGGGAGGCAGAGGUUGCAGUGAGCCGAGAUCGUGCCACUGCACUCCAGCCUGGGUGACAGAGCAAGACUCAUCUCAAAAAAAAAAAAAAAAAAAAAAUUGAAAACAUGGACCCCAACACCAAAAGGUUUUCAUUAAUAGAGAGGAAUGUUCAUGGUGCAUUAUUUGUUUACUGGCAAAUCUAUGAUGAAAAAAGGAAAUACCAAGCAAACCACCAUGGACAUAUUUCUGAAAAGAGGGACACCUCCUUAAGAAGAGUCCCAGGCAGGUCCUUCAUGGGUAUUUCAGAAGAGGGCAUUGCUAUCAUAGGAGAUGACAGCUCUGUGCAUGUUACUGCCCGGGAAGACCUUCCAGUGGGACAAGAUGUGAAGGUGGAAGAUGAUGAUAUUGAUGAUUCUGACCUGUGUAUGCCUAGGCUAAUGUACUUGUGUCUUAGUUUUUAACAAAAAGUUGAAGUAAAUAAUUUAAAAGAAAAAUGCUUAUAAAAAUAAAAUAUUUUUGUAUAGCAUUACAGUGUGUGUUUUAAUCUAAGUGUUAUUACAAAAGUCAGAAAAUUUUAAAAGUUUAGUAAAAAGUUAACAUUAGGUUAACUUAUUGAAGAAAGAAAUUUUUAAGUAAAUUUAGUUUACUCUAAGUGUACAGUAUUU
This 5659-nucleotide long non-coding RNA is filed under the name Homo sapiens (human). RNAcentral describes it as "non-protein coding lnc-ZNF852-2:7". The record is from RNAcentral. Lineage: Eukaryota; Metazoa; Chordata; Mammalia; Primates; Hominidae.